Molecule: ribosomal RNA, 396 nt
Filed under: uncultured bacterium
Lineage: Bacteria
Description: partial 16S ribosomal RNA
Rfam family: Bacterial small subunit ribosomal RNA
Source: RNAcentral
AUACAGAGGGUGCGAGCGUUAAUCGGAUUUACUGGGCGUAAAGCGCGCGUAGGUGGCUAAUUAAGUCAAAUGUGAAAUCCCCGAGCUUAACUUGGGAAUUGCAUUCGAUACUGGUUGGCUAGAGUAUGGAAGAGGAUGGUAGAAUUCCAGGUGUAGCGGUGAAAUGCGUAGAGAUCUGGAGGAAUACCGAUGGCGAAGGCAGCCAUCUGGCCUAAUACUGACACUGAGGUGCGAAAGCAUGGGGAGCAAACAGGAUUAGAUACCCUGGUAGUCCAUGCCGUAAACGAUGUCUACUAGCCGUUGGGGGAUUUGAUCCUUUAGUGGCGCAGCUAACGCGAUAAGUAGACCGCCUGGGGAGUACGGUCGCAAGACUAAAACUCAAAUGAAUUGACGGGG